RNAcentral lists this ribosomal RNA (501 nucleotides) under uncultured bacterium. RNAcentral's name for it is "bacterial SSU rRNA". It matches the Rfam family "Bacterial small subunit ribosomal RNA", at positions 32 to 508 of the family's 1533-position model. The record is from RNAcentral.
AAUCAACGCUGGCGGCGUGCCUCAGACAUGCAAGUCGAACGAGAAAGUUUCCUUCGGGGAAUGUGUAAAGUGGCGCACGGGUGAGUAACACGUAGGUAAUCUACCUUCGGGUGGGGAAUAACCCAGGGAAACUUGGGCUAACACCGCAUAAUGCAGCGGCACCACAUGGUGACAGUUGUUAAAGCGGGGGAUUUUCGGACCUCGCGCCUGAAGAGGAGCCUGCGGCGGAUUAGCUUGUUGGUAAGGUAACGGCUUACCAAGGCGACGAUCCGUAGCCGGCCUGAGAGGGCGGUCGGCCACACUGACACUGACAUGCGGGUCAGACUCCUACGGGAGGCAGCAGUCGGGAAUUUUGGGCAAUGGGCGAAAGCCUGACCCAGCAACGCCGCGUGAAGGAUGAAAUCCCUCGGGAUGUAAACUUCGCAAGAAUGGGAAGAAUUAGUAGGGGUUAAUACCCCCUACGAUGACGGUACCAUUUGUAAGCUCCGGCUAACUCCGUGC